UGGGGAAUAUUGGACAAUGGGCGCAAGCCUGAUCCAGCAAUGCCGCGUGUGUGAAGAAGGCCUUCGGGUUGUAAAGCACUUUUAUCAGGAGCGAAACGCUGUCGGCUAAUACCCGGCGGAACUGACGGUACCUGAGGAAUAAGCACCGGCUAACUUCGUGCCAGCAGCCGCGGUAAUACGAAGGGUGCAAGCGUUAAUCGGAAUUACUGGGCGUAAAGCGUGCGUAGGCGGUUUCUUAAGUCUGCUGUGAAAUCCCCGGGCUCAACCUGGGAAUGGCAGUGGAUACUGGGAGGCUAGAGUGUGUCAGAGGGUGGUGGAAUUCCCGGUGUAGCGGUGAAAUGCGUAGAGAUCGGGAGGAACAUCAGUGGCGAAGGCGGCCACCUGGGACAACACUGACGCUGAGGCACGAAAGCGUGGGGAGCAAACAGGAUUAGAUACCCUGGUAGUCCACGCCCUAAACGAUGCGAACUGGAUGUUGGUCUCAACUCGGAGAUCAGUGUCGAAGCUAACGCGUUAAGUUCGCCGCCUGGGGAGUACGGUCGCAAGACUGAAACUUAAAGG
Molecule: ribosomal RNA, 561 nt
Filed under: uncultured bacterium
Lineage: Bacteria
Description: partial 16S ribosomal RNA
Rfam family: Bacterial small subunit ribosomal RNA
Source: RNAcentral